Molecule: ribosomal RNA, 138 nt
Filed under: uncultured eukaryote
Lineage: Eukaryota
Description: partial 18S ribosomal RNA
Rfam family: Eukaryotic small subunit ribosomal RNA
Source: RNAcentral
UGGUGGGUUGCCUUGUCAGGUUGAUUCCGGUAACGAACGAGACCUCCGCCUGCUAAAUAGUCACGGUUGGGUUCCCAGCCGGCGGACUUCUUAGAGGGACUAUUGGCGAUUAGCCAGUGGAAGUUGGAGGCAAUAACA